AGAGUUUGAUCAUGGCUCAGAUUGAACGCUGGCGGCAGGCCUAACACAUGCAAGUCGAGCGGUAGCACAGAGAGCUUGCUCUCGGGUGACGAGCGGCGGACGGGUGAGUAAUGUCUGGGAAACUGCCUGAUGGAGGGGGAUAACUACUGGAAACGGUAGCUAAUACCGCAUAACGUCGCAAGACCAAAGUGGGGGACCUUCGGGCCUCAUGCCAUCAGAUGUGCCCAGAUGGGAUUAGCUAGUAGGUGGGGUAAUGGCUCACCUAGGCGACGAUCCCUAGCUGGUCUGAGAGGAUGACCAGCCACACUGGAACUGAGACACGGUCCAGACUCCUACGGGAGGCAGCAGUGGGGAAUAUUGCACAAUGGGCGCAAGCCUGAUGCAGCCAUGCCGCGUGUGUGAAGAAGGCCUUCGGGUUGUAAAGCACUUUCAGCGGGGAGGAAGGCGAUAAGGUUAAUAACCUUGUCGAUUGACGUUACCCGCAGAAGAAGCACCGGCUAACUCCGUGCCAGCAGCCGCGGUAAUACGGAGGGUGCAAGCGUUAAUCGGAAUUACUGGGCGUAAAGCGCACGCAGGCGGUCUGUCAAGUCGGAUGUGAAAUCCCCGGGCUCAACCUGGGAACUGCAUUCGAAACUGGCAGGCUAGAGUCUUGUAGAGGGGGGUAGAAUUCCAGGUGUAGCGGUGAAAUGCGUAGAGAUCUGGAGGAAUACCGGUGGCGAAGGCGGCCCCCUGGACAAAGACUGACGCUCAGGUGCGAAAGCGUGGGGAGCAAACAGGAUUAGAUACCCUGGUAGUCCACGCCGUAAACGAUGUCGAUUUGGAGGUUGUGCCCUUGAGGCGUGGCUUCCGGAGCUAACGCGUUAAAUCGACCGCCUGGGGAGUACGGCCGCAAGGUUAAAACUCAAAUGAAUUGACGGGGGCCCGCACAAGCGGUGGAGCAUGUGGUUUAAUUCGAUGCAACGCGAAGAACCUUACCUGGUCUUGACAUCCACAGAACUUUCCAGAGAUGGAUUGGUGCCUUCGGGAACUGUGAGACAGGUGCUGCAUGGCUGUCGUCAGCUCGUGUUGUGAAAUGUUGGGUUAAGUCCCGCAACGAGCGCAACCCUUAUCCUUUGUUGCCAGCGGUCCGGCCGGGAACUCAAAGGAGACUGCCAGUGAUAAACUGGAGGAAGGUGGGGAUGACGUCAAGUCAUCAUGGCCCUUACGACCAGGGCUACACACGUGCUACAAUGGCAUAUACAAAGAGAAGCGACCUCGCGAGAGCAAGCGGACCUCAUAAAGUAUGUCGUAGUCCGGAUUGGAGUCUGCAACUCGACUCCAUGAAGUCGGAAUCGCUAGUAAUCGUAGAUCAGAAUGCUACGGUGAAUACGUUCCCGGGCCUUGUACACACCGCCCGUCACACCAUGGGAGUGGGUUGCAAAAGAAGUAGGUAGCUUAACCUUCGGGAGGGCGCUUACCACUUUGUGAUUCAUGACUGGGGUGAAGUCGUAACAAGGUAACCGUAGGGGAACCUGCGGUUG
Molecule: ribosomal RNA, 1520 nt
Filed under: Klebsiella pneumoniae
Lineage: Bacteria; Pseudomonadati; Pseudomonadota; Gammaproteobacteria; Enterobacterales; Enterobacteriaceae
Description: bacterial SSU rRNA
Rfam family: Bacterial small subunit ribosomal RNA
Source: RNAcentral